This 130-nucleotide ribosomal RNA is filed under the name Escherichia coli. RNAcentral's name for it is "partial 23S ribosomal RNA". It matches the Rfam family "Bacterial large subunit ribosomal RNA", at positions 2067 to 2191 of the family's 2925-position model. The record is from RNAcentral. Lineage: Bacteria; Pseudomonadati; Pseudomonadota; Gammaproteobacteria; Enterobacterales; Enterobacteriaceae.
UGAUGUACCCGCGGCAAGACGGAAAGACCCCGUGAACCUUUACUAUAGCUUGACACUGAACAUUGAGCCUUGAUGUGUAGGAUAGGUGGGAGGCUUUGAAGUGUGGACGCCAGUCUGCAUGGAGCCGACC